This is a long non-coding RNA of Bombus impatiens (common eastern bumble bee), 420 nucleotides long. RefSeq lists it as uncharacterized. The record is from RefSeq and is a predicted model, not a curated record. NCBI's taxonomy places the organism in Eukaryota, Metazoa, Arthropoda, Insecta, Hymenoptera, Apidae. The transcript is spliced from 2 exons.
UUGAUUUGUUGAUAUUGAUAUAUAUGAUUGAAAACAAUGUAUGUAAAAGUUUUGGAUCAAUGAUUACCAAUAGCGUUGUAUAAUGGUUCUCCAGUAAUAGAGUCCCAUACAACUGUAGUUUCUCUUUGGUUUGUUAUACCAACUGCAACUAUAUCACUAGGAUCAAUGGAUCUUGUUCGACCCAUCCUUCUUUUGGACAUGAUUGUGAUAUCGAAACCUGAUGAUAUGUUAAUACUUCGGCAGUAUCCGCAGCAAAAACCUAAAAUAAUAGUACACACAUUAGUAAAUCAUUAAUAAAAAUAUAAAGAAUGUACAUCGAAUGAUGCGUUAUUUAUAUUUUUUGGAAGGAUCAAUUAAUCACCAAGCCAUUCCUCAAUAUAUUAGUAAAAGUAGAUUCAAUAAAUGUAAUGUAUAUUACGA